UGCGUAGGCGGGCUAAUAAGUCAGUGGUGAAAUCUCUCGGCUCAACCGGGAAACUGCCAUUGAUACUGUUAGUCUUGAGUUCGGUUGAGGUAGGCGGAAUGUGUAAUGUAGCGGUGAAAUGCUCAGAUAUUACACAGAACACCAAUUGCGUAGGCAGCUUACUAGACCGACACUGACGCUGAGGCACGAAAGCGUGGGGAGCAAACAGGAUUAGAUACCCUGGUAGUCC
This 229-nucleotide ribosomal RNA is filed under the name uncultured bacterium. Its description in RNAcentral is "partial 16S ribosomal RNA". It matches the Rfam family "Bacterial small subunit ribosomal RNA", at positions 568 to 796 of the family's 1533-position model. The record is from RNAcentral.